UGGGGAAUAUUGGACAAUGGGCGAAAGCCUGAUCCAGCCAUGCCGCGUGUGUGAAGAAGGUCUUCGGAUUGUAAAGCACUUUAAGUUGGGAGGAAGGGCAGUAAGCGAAUACCUUGCUGUUUUGACGUUACCGACAGAAUAAGCACCGGCUAACUCUGUGCCAGCAGCCGCGGUAAUACAGAGGGUGCAAGCGUUAAUCGGAAUUACUGGGCGUAAAGCGCGCGUAGGUGGUUCGUUAAGUUGAAUGUGAAAGCCCCGGGCUCAACCUGGGAACGGCAUCCAAAACUGGCGAGCUAGAGUAGGGCAGAAGGUGGUGGAAUUUCCUGUGUAGCGGUGAAAUGCGUAGAUAUAGGAAGGAACACCAGUGGCGAAGGCGACCACCUGGGCUCAUACUGACACUGAGGUGCGAAAGCGUGGGGAGCAAACAGG
This 429-nucleotide ribosomal RNA is filed under the name Pseudomonadota bacterium. RNAcentral describes it as "Proteobacteria bacterium partial 16S ribosomal RNA". It matches the Rfam family "Bacterial small subunit ribosomal RNA", at positions 355 to 776 of the family's 1533-position model. The record is from RNAcentral. Lineage: Bacteria; Pseudomonadati; Pseudomonadota.